RNAcentral lists this long non-coding RNA (1304 nucleotides) under Volvox carteri. RNAcentral's name for it is "long non-coding RNA (VCAR_LNC003482)". Lineage: Eukaryota; Viridiplantae; Chlorophyta; Chlorophyceae; Chlamydomonadales; Volvocaceae. The record is from RNAcentral.
CACGCUAGUAUGUGCCCUCCUAUAGAUGGGAUCUUAUUUAGGCGAUAAUAACUCGUGUUCAUCUACUUACUUCCAAAUCUCCUCGCCUCUUCAUCUUUAUCCCUGGUUCCAGAUCUUAGGCAAACGCACGGUAUGCCAUAGAUGUUACAGAGCCAUAACACGUUCUGCCACGGGGAGAGGGAUCAAGCAAGGGUUGAGAGCUUUCUCACCACAUUUGGGCGCUGGAGGGGAAACACGGAUGAAUGAUAGAUACAUCGGCGUGUAGGAUUCGCCGGCCAGUUCGCUCAGGGUGCGUCACUGUAGGUGAAGCGCCCAGUCACGCACUGCGAAGCGGAAGGCGCAGUUGGCAGGGAUGACAGUUGAUGGUUUGUACACUUUUUCCCACCUCUCGCGAAUAUUGUUGCAUUCCUCAUCUCAGACAUCUUUCGGCAAUAUCGCCCUUUGCAUUUACCGACCAAACUGCUAUGUGGCGCUUUAACAAUAAUCACAUCACCGCCAGCAGCGCCAGCGUUGUUAGCGGAAGCAGUGCAGCUCUAGAGUCUAGAGCUGGACUAUUGCUGUAGAUCUACAGCUGCUGCAAAGCAUGCAUGUGCACACCGGCUGGUUGCUUCAAGUCGUUCGGGGAUCCGCACAGAUUCGGUCCGUACAUGUGAAUAGUGUCACACGUAAUGUGUAAUAGACAACCCUACCACAUGUUAGGCCAGUUUACAUCCCAUGCGCGAGAGCAUGUCCCGGAUCGCCAGCGACGUGCAAACGGCGUGCGGCAGAUGGCUUUGAACUCCUGCCUGCCGUCAAUCAGACCUACCAUUUUGCACGCACUGGUGCUGGUGUUGCUGCAUUCAGGCAUGUGGACACAUGGCCUCGCUAGGAUGGCUGCUAGGAAAUGCCGCAGUGUACGGGUAUUGCUAAAUCUGACGCCAAAUAGGAAGGCAUAACUACUGUCCUCGGUUUACAAUCAGUGACCUACUGGGAUUGUGUCUCGCCACGGACCUGCUCUUUUGCGGUUCAGAGCAUAGCCCGCAGUGCUGUGAACCUCUGAGGUCCUGUAGAUGUCCUCUUCUUAACAGAAACUUGCAGAUCACGGCAUGGAACUGAGCACACUCGAUGUUACAUUGUAAACGUUUGAUGUCCUUUGGGAGCCAAAUGAAAGUAACUGCACUUUUUCUGAGGUUUAAUCAGAAAUUACGGACAGGGAAGUUACAGAGUAAAACCGGCUUUAGACGAGUGCUAAGCAAUAGUCAUCGCACUGGACGUGAAACUGAGUAUUUAUGUGACUAUAAUAUAUAAUUAUUCAACUUCUUUCG